Molecule: ribosomal RNA, 248 nt
Filed under: uncultured Ruaniaceae bacterium
Lineage: Bacteria; Bacillati; Actinomycetota; Actinomycetes; Micrococcales; Ruaniaceae
Description: partial 16S ribosomal RNA
Rfam family: Bacterial small subunit ribosomal RNA
Source: RNAcentral
CAUGCCGUAAACGGUGGGCACUAGGUGUGGGGUCCGUUUCCACGGGUUCUGCGCCGUAGCUAACGCAUUAAGUGCCCCGCCUGGGGAGUACGGCCGCAAGGCUAAAACUCAAAGGAAUUGACGGGGGCCCGCACAAGCGGCGGAGCAUGCGGAUUAAUUCGAUGCAACGCGAAGAACCUUACCAAGGCUUGACAUAUACCGGAAGGCCCCAGAAAUGGGGAGAUCUUUGGACACUGGUAUACAGGUGG